GACGAACGCUGGCGGCGUGCUUAACAUAUGCAAGUCGAACGGAAUAUCUCUGUUUAAUUUGUGUGCUGGAGGAGGGAAUGGUAAAAUGUAACGACACUCACCUGCGCUUGACUCUAGGACGCCUUCACGAAACUGGUAUCAAUACCUCACCGGACUUGCAGGAGCGUCGGAGUGAUUGUAACAAUGCGGUUUGGGAGAGGCUCGCGGGUUAUCAGCUUGUUGUUGGGGUAGUGGCUUAUCAAGGCUUUGAUGGGUAGCCGGCGUGAGAGGGUGACCGCCCACAUUGGGACUGAGAUACGGCCCAGACUCCUACGGGAGGCAGCAGUGGGGGAUAUUGCACAAUGGGCGGAAGCCUGAUGCAGCAACGCCGCGUGCGGGAUGACGGCCUUCGGGUUGUAAACCGCUUUCGCCUGUGACGAAGCGUGAGUGACGGUAAUGGGUAAAGAAGCACCGGCUAACUACGUG
RNAcentral lists this ribosomal RNA (465 nucleotides) under uncultured bacterium. RNAcentral's name for it is "partial 16S ribosomal RNA". It matches the Rfam family "Bacterial small subunit ribosomal RNA", at positions 28 to 507 of the family's 1533-position model. The record is from RNAcentral.